RNAcentral lists this non-coding RNA (645 nucleotides) under Capsicum annuum. Its description in RNAcentral is "Eukaryotic large subunit ribosomal RNA". It matches the Rfam family "Eukaryotic large subunit ribosomal RNA", at positions 24 to 664 of the family's 3401-position model. Lineage: Eukaryota; Viridiplantae; Streptophyta; Magnoliopsida; Solanales; Solanaceae. The record is from Rfam by way of RNAcentral.
CCCGCUGAGUUUAAGCAUAUCAAUACGUGGAGAAAAAUAAACUUACAAGGGUUUCCUUAGUAACGGCGAGCGAAUCGGGAGCAACCCAUCCUUAGAAUCGGGCGGCUCCAUCAUCCGAAUUAUAGUCUAGAGAAGCAUCCUUAGCGGCGGACCAACCCCAAGUCCCUUGUAAGGAGGUGCUAGAGAGGGUGAGAGCCCCGUUGUGCCCGGACCCUAUCGCACCACGAGUCAUUAUCUAUGAGUUGGCUUGUUUAGGAAUGUAGCCCAAAUCAGGUGGUGAAUUCCAUCCAAGGCUAAAUACGAGCAAGAGAGCGAUAGAAAACAAGUACCGCCAGGGAAAGAUAAAAAGGAAUUUGAAAAGAGAGUCAAAGAAUACUUGAAAUUAUCAGGAGGAAAAUGGAUAGGGGUUGGCGAUGCGCCCCGAUCAGAUGUGGAACAGCGACAAGCCGGUCCACCGAUUGACUCACGAUGUAGACCAACUUAGAUUGUGGGGGGAGGGGCGGCCAAAGACCGGGCUCUCUAUACGCUUGUGUAACACCAUCUCCUCAAUUAUGGCAGGCAGCACGUGCCUCCGGCGUGCUUCGGCAUCUGCACGCUCCAGAUACUAGCCUGUGGGCUUCCCAUUUGACCUGUCUUGAAACACGA